UCCAUUUGAAACAGCGUUCUCAUCUCUUGCCAGCACACACGAACAUAAAAAAAAGAGAGCAUCGGCUCACCUCCUCCGCCGCUGACCGAUCGCCAGACUUGGUAGACAUGGCCGACGAUGAUCCCCGUGCUUCUUCCCUGUGGGAGGCUUCAACCAGCACGUCCAUCAGUCGGAGGAAGAUUAAUUCAUCAUCUCUAGUUUGCGAGGUAUGUCAUCGUCGGAGAAGAAAAUAGGAUGAGGAUGAUUGAUCGGCCAAGUCUACUAGUACUAGUGUUAUGGCCUAUGGUGCAGGGCAAAGACGACAAGGACGACACGCGGCGGCGACGUGGCCAUGGUGAAGCUACUUCGUUCGGCUACUCCAUGGCCGGCGUGUCUGCUGUCCUCUCAAUCUGUCACACGUACGUCCCGGUGCAUGCAUGGUGUCAGGCCGAAGAGCACACAAAUCUACAUCUAGGCCCUGGCCACUAGCAACAUGCACUUAGCCACUUACCCAAUAUAUUCAUAUUGUGCGCAUAUAAUAAAGUGGCUAGUACGUCGACGUAGAAAUAGUUAGGAGCUUGCUUUGCACUCACACAAUCGAGUCAUGAUUGUUACUGAUGAUCAAAAUUUUAUGUAUUUUUUAUGCCUAAUGGGUUUACUACUUCU
Long non-coding RNA from Triticum aestivum (bread wheat), 645 nucleotides. RefSeq lists it as uncharacterized. The transcript is spliced from 3 exons. Lineage: Eukaryota; Viridiplantae; Streptophyta; Magnoliopsida; Poales; Poaceae. The record is from RefSeq and is a predicted model, not a curated record.